This 498-nucleotide ribosomal RNA is filed under the name uncultured bacterium. RNAcentral's name for it is "partial 16S ribosomal RNA". It matches the Rfam family "Bacterial small subunit ribosomal RNA", at positions 30 to 523 of the family's 1533-position model. The record is from RNAcentral.
AUUGAAUGCUGGCGGCAUGCCUUACACAUGCAAGUCGAGCGGUAACAGGUCUUCGGAUGCUGACGAGUGGCGAACGGGUGAGUAAUACAUCGGAACGUGCCUAGUAGUGGGGGAUAACUACUCGAAAGAGUGGCUAAUACCGCAUGAGAUCUACGGAUGAAAGCAGGGGAUCGCAAGACCUUGUGCUACUAGAGCGGCCGAUGGCAGAUUAGGUAGUUGGUGGGAUAAAAGCUUACCAAGCCGACGAUCUGUAGCUGGUCUGAGAGGACGAUCAGCCACACUGGGACCGAGACACGGCCCAGACUCCUACGGGAGGCAGCAGUGGGGAAUUUUGGACAAUGGGCGCAAGCCUGAUCCAGCAAUGCCGCGUGCAGGAUGAAGGCCUUCGGGUUGUAAACUGCUUUUGUACGGAACGAAAAGCCCUGGGUUAAUACCCUGGGGUCAUGACGGUACCGUAAGAAUAAGCACCGGCUAACUACGUGCCAGCCGCCGCCGUAA